UACGUAGGGUGCGAGCGUUGUCCGGAAUUAUUGGGCGUAAAGAGCUUGUAGGCGGUCUGUCGCGUCUGCUGUGAAAAUCCGGGGCUCAACCCCGGACUUGCAGUGGGUACGGGCAGACUAGAGUGUGGUAGGGGAGACUGGAAUUCCUGGUGUAGCGGUGAAAUGCGCAGAUAUCGGGAGGAACACCGAUGGCGAAGGCAGGUCUCUGGGCCACUACUGACGCUGAGGCGCGAAAGCGUGGGGAGCGAACAGG
RNAcentral lists this ribosomal RNA (253 nucleotides) under uncultured bacterium. Its description in RNAcentral is "partial 16S ribosomal RNA". It matches the Rfam family "Bacterial small subunit ribosomal RNA", at positions 524 to 776 of the family's 1533-position model. The record is from RNAcentral.